This 335-nucleotide long non-coding RNA is filed under the name Setaria viridis. Its description in RNAcentral is "long non-coding RNA (SVIR_LNC009679)". The record is from RNAcentral. Lineage: Eukaryota; Viridiplantae; Streptophyta; Magnoliopsida; Poales; Poaceae.
UCUAUGGUAUGACCAUUAAGGGAAAGUUCGGUGGUGUAGCGCUUCAACAAAGAACAAGAAUAAAAUGUGAUGCUCUAGAGAUAAUGAUCCAAUUUUUAAGGUUAUAUGGCUAUAAGGAAGUGUCUGCAGGCAUAGAUGGUUUAUUGACACCUAUAGAGAUGUUGCCACUAUAAAGAGUAAGGUCAAAACUACAAUUAGAAGAUUUGAGGAUAAACAACAUCGACACGGUGUGUUAUCAUAAGGCUACCCUACUAUUCCAAAAUGAAAGAUGAUGAGGUAGUGCAUAUCUUUUAGAGCAAUGAUCAAGGAAAAAGUUGAUCAAAAGAAAGGAGAAC